GUGAGAAAGCAACUGGAUGGAAAGAGAAAGGCCCGGGCUGGAAAACACCUGGAUGGGGCACACGUGGCCUUGGGGAGAGGUGGGAAAUGCAGGAACCACCCUUGAUCCUCGCCUGGUGCCUCCCCUUGGCCUCAGCAGGAGGAAACCAAGGAUCUCUCACACCUGGCUGGGAAUAAGAGCAGCUUCAGAUGGCUUUGAGGAAGAUGAAGGAGCACCGCUUUUGGUUUGAGUUGUUUUGCCGCUCCAGGGGCUGGCAGCACAGAGAGGAAACUCCAAGGAUGCCAUGAGUUGAGGAUAAAUAUGUGUUUUCUGUGAAUUAAACCACCAGCUCCACCCUUGUCCUCAGCCCCAGACUCUGACAGUCUCUCCCACAUUACUGGACCCUAACUGGAGACACUGGGCUAUGACUCUCUUUUGAGAAGAGCUUUUACCUAAGGGAAAUCCGAUUUCUGGAGCAGAGAACAGCAGGAACAAGGUCCCAAGCUGCAUCCCCACCCUGGCACUCUGGGCUUGGAGCGUGUGAGCAGUCAGCAUUAAUAUCCCAGCUGCCUUGGGCUGCUUGGGAGGCACAGCAGGGAAAAAACACUCGGUGAAACACGCUCAGUAACCUACUCUGGCUCUAGCUUAAAGGCUACAUCGAUAGAUUUUUAUAUAUAAAAUAGAGAUGGCACUGAGAACAGCCGCGGUCUCGGCUCCGUGAGCUCGCUGACAGCUCAGCGAGUCACCAAGGAGCGUCACCAUUUCACAGCCAGCAGCUGCUGCAGCUUCAGGGUCAGCUCCUGGGAGGCCAAAAUCGCAGAGCAAGAGGCUCUGGCAUCCUGUGGGGUCACAGCCUGCCCCGAGUCCCCUGAGCGAGCCAAAGCCACGCUCCGCAUCCAUCGGCCCUUCCCGGAGCGCUCCCAGCGCUGGCUCUGCCUUCAGCCCCAAGCAGCUGCGCUUUCAUCUGAGGAUAAGCGCGGAGAUAAAACAACGAAGCUCCAGCACGGCCCUGAGAAGCCUCCGCAAGGAGCCCGAGAGAGCCAGGAGCGGCAGGAGGG
This 1037-nucleotide long non-coding RNA is filed under the name Cyanistes caeruleus (blue tit). Its description in RNAcentral is "lncRNA (ENSCCEG00000020120.1)". The record is from RNAcentral. Lineage: Eukaryota; Metazoa; Chordata; Aves; Passeriformes; Paridae.